This 253-nucleotide ribosomal RNA is filed under the name uncultured bacterium. Its description in RNAcentral is "partial 16S ribosomal RNA". It matches the Rfam family "Bacterial small subunit ribosomal RNA", at positions 524 to 776 of the family's 1533-position model. The record is from RNAcentral.
UACGUAGGGUGCAAGCGUUGUCCGGAAUUAUUGGGCGUAAAGAGCUCGUAGGCGGUCUGUCGCGUCUGCUGUGAAAACUCGGGGCUUAACCCCGGGCCUGCAGUGGGUACGGGCAGACUAGAGUGCGGUAGGGGAGACUGGAAUUCCUGGUGUAGCGGUGAAAUGCGCAGAUAUCAGGAGGAACACCGGUGGCGAAGGCGGGUCUCUGGGCCGAUACUGACGCUGAGGAGCGAAAGCGUGGGGAGCGAAAGGG